Molecule: ribosomal RNA, 497 nt
Filed under: uncultured bacterium
Lineage: Bacteria
Description: partial 16S ribosomal RNA
Rfam family: Bacterial small subunit ribosomal RNA
Source: RNAcentral
GACGAACGCUGGCGGCGUGCCUAAUACAUGCAAGUUGAGCGCUGAAGGUUGGUACUUGUCCCAACUGGAUGAGCAGCGAACGGGUGAGUAACGCGUGGGGAAUCUGCCUUUGAGCGGGGGACAACAUUUGGAAACGAAUGCUAAUACCGCAUAAAAACUUUAAACACAAGUUUUAAGUUUGAAAGAUGCAAUUGCAUCACUCAAAGAUGAUCCCGCGUUGUAUUAGCUAGUUGGUGAGGUAAAGGCUCACCAAGGCGAUGAUACAUAGCCGACCUGAGAGGGUGAUCGGCCACAUUGGGACUGAGACACGGCCCAAACGCCUACGGGAGGCAGCAGUAGGGAAUCUUCGGCAAUGGACGAAAGUCUGACCGAGCAACGCCGCGGGAGUGAAGAAGGUUGUCGGAUCGUAAAACUCUGUUGGUAGAGAAGAACGUUGGUGAGAGUGGAAAGCUCAUCAAGUGACGGUAACUACCCAGAAAGGGACGGCUAACUACGUG